UGGGGAAUAUUGCACAAUGGGCGAAAGCCUGAUGCAGCGACGCCGCGUGAGGGAUGACGGCCUUCGGGUUGUAAACCUCUUUCAGCAGGGAAGAAGCGAAAGUGACGGUACCUGCAGAAGAAGCGCCGGCUAACUACGUGCCAGCAGCCGCGGUAAUACGUAGGGCGCAAGCGUUGUCCGGAAUUAUUGGGCGUAAAGAGCUCGUAGGCGGUUAGUCGCGUCUGCUGUGAAAACUCGAGGCUCAACCUCGGGCUUGCAGUGGGUACGGGCUGACUAGAGUGCGGUAGGGGUGACUGGAAUUCCUGGUGUAGCGGUGGAAUGCGCAGAUAUCAGGAGGAACACCGAUGGCGAAGGCAGGUCACUGGGCCGCAACUGACGCUGAGGAGCGAAAGCAUGGGGAGCGAACAGGAUUAGAUACCCCCGGUAGUCCAUGCCGUAAACGUUGGGCACUAGGUGUGGGGUCCAUUCCACGGAUUCCGUGCCGCAGCAAACGCAUUAAGUGCCCCGCCUGGGGAGUACGGCCGCAAGGCUAAAAACUCAAAUGAAUUGACGGGGUCAUAGCUGUUU
Molecule: ribosomal RNA, 567 nt
Filed under: uncultured bacterium
Lineage: Bacteria
Description: partial 16S ribosomal RNA
Rfam family: Bacterial small subunit ribosomal RNA
Source: RNAcentral